AGAGUUUGAUCCUGGCUCAGAAUCAACGCUGGCGGCGCGCUUAACACAUGCAAGUCGAACGAGAAAGUGGAGCAAUCCAUGAGUACAGUGGCGUACGGGUGAGUAACACGUGGGUGAUCUACCUCUUAGUGAGGAAUAACCCUGGGAAACUAGGGCUAAUACCGCAUGAGCCUGAGAAGGGAAAGUCGCAAGACGCUGAGAGAGGAGCCCGCGGCCGAUUAGCUAGUUGGUAGGGUAAGAGCCUACCAAGGCAUAGAUCGGUAGCCGGCCUGAGAGGGCACACGGCCACACUGGCACUGAAACACGGGCCAGACUCCUACGGGAGGCAGCAGUGGGGAAUCUUGCACAAUGGGGGAAACCCUGAUGCAGCGACGCCGCGUGAGCGAUGAAGCCCCUCGGGGUGUAAAGCUCUUUCGGCAGGGAAGAUUAUGACGGUACCUGCAGAAGCAGCUGCGGCUAACUACGUGCCAGCAGCCGCGGUAAUACGUAGGCAGCGAGCGUUGUUCGGAGUUACUGGGCGUAAAGGGUGUGUAGGCGGUUCUUUAAGUUUGGUGUGAAAUCUCCCGGCUUAACCGGGAGGGUGCGCCGAAUACUGAGGGACUAGAGUACGGGAGAGGAAAGUGGAAUUCCUGGUGUAGCGGUGAAAUGCGUANAUAUCAGGAGGAACACCGGUGGUGUANACNGCUUUCUGGACCGUAACUGACGCUGAGACACGAAAGCGU
Molecule: ribosomal RNA, 722 nt
Filed under: uncultured bacterium
Lineage: Bacteria
Description: bacterial SSU rRNA
Rfam family: Bacterial small subunit ribosomal RNA
Source: RNAcentral